Molecule: long non-coding RNA, 1209 nt
Filed under: Oryctolagus cuniculus (rabbit)
Lineage: Eukaryota; Metazoa; Chordata; Mammalia; Lagomorpha; Leporidae
Description: lncRNA (ENSOCUG00000004516.4)
Source: RNAcentral
GCAGACUGAGUAAAUUUCAUUAUAGACUCUGAAAACCUGAAGUACCGAUUUUGAGUGAUUUAUUAGAAAAAUAAUUUUGAGAUCUGAUGUUGAAGGCGUUUUUCCUGUGCGAUGACUACUAGAAGUACCACGGUUUAAAUGUUUCUAACUUCACUAUUUUGGAGCAAGAUGGAAUUUCUUUAAACUUACAUGCAUCUUUUUAUUUUUAAAAAGUAUGGGUGGCAGGAUUUUUUUUUAAGUUUUUAUGUUAUUAAAUAGUUUAUUAAAUAUUGCAUUGUUACUCAUUGAACCAUUUCUAGAAAAUUGAAACUAUUAAAUUAUUACUAUGUUGAUAGGCUUUAUAAUAGAAGGUGGUAAAUGUUAAGGAAACUUUUCUUGCUAACUGUACUCAUGUACCUAUUCAUUUUUAUCUUUUGAGGUUUUCUCACUUUUCAUGCUUUGCUAAAUUUAAUCUUCAAACAGUUGUGUCCUUGUGUCCAUCUGUGCCUUCCCCCUCCCCAAUUCGUAGUAAUUUAUUGUUUAAGAGGAUUUGAAUAUUUUCUGGCCAGGAGGAAAGGCAAGAUGAUAUCACAGGUUCUAUCUCUAGUGUGACUCACCUAUGAUGAAUAUUUACUUCUUUUGUUCUCACAGGCGGCGUAAAGAUAGACAUGAAGCUAGUGGGUUUUCAAGGCGACCUGACCCAGAUUCUGAUGAAGAUGAAGAUUAUGAGCGGGAGAGAAAGACAAAGAAUUACCCCGAGAUUUUCCUUAUGAAGAAGACUCCAGACCUCGAUCCCAGUCUUCCAAAGCUGCCAUUCCUCCCCCAGUGUAUGAAGAACAGGACAGACCGAGAUCUCCAACUGGGCCUAGCAACUCUUUCCUUGCUAACAUGGGGUAAUGAUUUUAAGUGUUACUAUCUAAGCAAAUGUAAAAAUGCCUUGAGAAACAGUUUGAGGUAUGGGCAGUCCCUUUGCGUAGAUUCAGCUUGUUUGAAAAUGGGGACAUUGAGGACUACAGGGAGACACUUGGUGAGUUCAGUCGCCCAGUGCCCUUCUCAAGGGAUUUGUGCUCAAGGUGAAACUGGUUUGUACACAACAAGUUUUGAAUGGUUUAGAUGUUGAGUAUUAUUUCUCUGGAUAGGAAGUUUCUGAUAACUACAUUUAUUAUUUACAUUAAUUUUAAUAACAUUUGCACAAAUAAAAUGAAUUAGCGUUAACUUGGGUUAUCUCCA